Molecule: non-coding RNA, 10920 nt
Organism: Xyrichtys novacula (pearly razorfish)
Lineage: Eukaryota; Metazoa; Chordata; Actinopteri; Labriformes; Labridae
Source: the annotation of a GenBank genome assembly
ACAUCGUAGAGCCGCCACGGCUUGGCUUACAUGUGGUCGACCUCGUGUUAGAGCUGUGAAAGCAAACAUGUCAUUUGUUGUUUCUCCUCCCUUCUUUGUCUAUUAUUCCUGCUCACGCUGACGGAUGUGGCUGAUUUUAUGAACAAGAGUUGGACAAUAAACCGACUCAUACAACCGAUGUGCUGGUCUCAGUGUUUGAAGUAUUUUUUUUCAGAUCUGAGCAGAAACCAACAGACGGAGGAUCGUGCAGGGAACUCAAUAGCUGCACACUUACUUCAUGCAGUGGUUAUAUCUCCAUCAAACACAGUGACUCAGCACCAUGAGGUCCUGGUUAGGUUCACAUGUUUGCCACACAGACAAUCAUCAAACAAACAGCAGAUCGUGGAUCUCUGCUGUUAUUUGAAGUGAAAACUGUUCUUCUUGGAGUAUUGUGCACAAACUUCAGCACUGAAGUAUUGACAGACUUUAAGAGUACUUGAGAUAAGAUGUUUGACCUUACACAGUAGCUCCACAUGUGCACAGUUAGACCUCUGCUGGCCUAUGCUUAGACAGAAGUUUGUAGUUUCGGUUGUGGAAGGGGAAAUAAUUAAAGGCCCUUCUCUUGACACCUGUCCCAAAUAAAGUCGUGGUAUGGGGUUAGCAAUUACUCCAACUUUACUUGCCUUUAUAACACGAUUACACUGCUUACGUAUACAGCUUUAUCCUUGCCUGUGUUCGUCACUUUAGAGAAAAGCAUCUCCAAAUGACAUUGUUACAUCAUUUGUAACAUCUACUGUAGCAACAGUUUCUUGUGGAGUUCCUCAGGGCUCUAUUUUUGAGCCUUUUCUUUUCACACUUAGUAGAAAAACAGCAGUGAGUCUGCAGAUGACACACUAAUACACUUGUCUCACAACAUCAUUUAGCGCUAUCCUCUUAAACCACUGGAAUUAUAAUGGACUUGGAAAAUUUGGUAACCUUACAUUUCUGACUUUGUAUGAGAGUGGAACAAAAGUCCAAACAUCUGGACUCAGUGGUGCUUCUGAUGGAUCUCUGUAUCAGUGAAAUCAUCUAAAAAUCUCAGUGUGAUUAAUGGAGAGUGAAUUAAAAUACAUAUAGUUUGAUUCUGAGGUCAAAUCCACACAAAAUUUAUCUGACUCCAUACUUUUCACUGGUUUCCUUCUCAUUUUAAUGUUAACUUUGUCUGGUAUAACUUCAGACUAAGGCCUGGUCCCCUGCAUGGUUUCAGUCUGCAGAGUUAACUCAGUGGAAACAUCAGCGGUAUCUUAGUGAAGGUCGUCCAUAUUUGCUCCCUGACUUUUUAGCUCGUCUUUUGUCAGGCUGUGUGUCACUUCCCUUAAGUUUACACUGACAGAAUACCUUUUUAUCCAUCUUUAGUUACACUAAGUCAGACAGACUCUCUCCUUUAGUGUUUUGAAGCCAUCAGGUACCUGAUUGUGUAACUUUUCUGUAGUUUAGAGCGAUCCAUCGACCCCCGUGCCCUUCCACUCAGAGUGAAAACAGCCCACCUGACUCUGCAGCUUGUUAUUCACAGCAGGACAUGAACAGUUAAUUACAUCCUGUGUUACGCUACGACAGCUGAGAGGACUGAAGGUGUUUGACUGGAAGUAGAGCUCAGUUUGGUGCUUUUGGCUGCUCCUGAGGCCUGAUGACUCAGUAAAACCGAACAGCAGCAGUCUGCUCUCAGACCAAACUCACACUGAUGCUGUUUUCCUCAAGUCCCGGUCUGCAGGUGAAAGUGAGUCAGACUCUGAUGAUUUCUCUGGUUUAUUGUGGAGAUUUUAGAGAAGCUCAGUAAACUCAAGGUGUGUGCUGAUGUGACCUAAGGAGCCUGCUAUUCAUUCUCCUCAUGUGUGCUCCUGCAGUGUCUGCUUGGGUUAAAACUAGAAUAAAGUGAAUGUACAUUAUACAAAAAUAAGACAGAGGAGAGCUGACAGGUGACACAUUUUGAUUUAGGUGUUAAGGGAAGAGACUUUGUGGCUCUGGAUGCAAACAGCAGGGGUGCACAGAGACAGUAUUUGGUGCUUUUUGAAUUGGACAGUGGUUUUUAUCCUUUUUUGCAGGUUUGGUGAAUCCAAAAGGUUCACAACCUUUUUAUGAACCAAGCCUAGAAUCUUCAACUCAAGUGAAGUUAUACUCUCAUUUAUUCUUUCAUGUGUACAAACUGUUUCUGUUCAUUCUGUUAUAUAUAAGUGGAGAAAGCUCUUAAUCACAUCUAAGAUUCAAGAGGUCAAACCUUUAUUAUCUGUUCACCUGUUAAGAGAGGCAUGUCUACAGACUUGUUUAACUGAAAAUCUUUGUCCUCUCAAACCAGCUCCAAUAACUCAAAGUUGGCAUUGAAAUCCUCAAACGGUCUUUACCAAUAACAGAACCGUGAGCUGCAGAGUUUGCAGAAACUCUCUUUUUGUUUCUCUGUCAGAGUUCAUAUUUCUCUGAUAUUCCCACGAGCUGCAGACUCUCUCCAUCCUGACGAUGUGUGAGGGCCGACGGGCUUAUCGUCCACUUCCUGAACCUCCUGCUGAGCAGAGACGGAGAGCAGGUCGCGACCUUACAUCACGCUUUUAUCUCAGCUGACUCUAGUUUCCUGCACCAUGACUUCACCUGUUAAUGCGCUGACGAGUGUUAUUGGAGCUAGAUUAGCCUCGACCCUGCAGGGUGGAGCUGGGCUGACGUGAGAGUCAAACAGAUGGCCUGAUUAUUGUGGGGAACUUUCCUGCUGAAAACUCAGAACUUGAAGGUCGGUCCUCCAAUGUUCAUUUCCUUCACACCCGUCAACGUGAGAAGAAACCCCCAAAUAUUUCAAACAUGUCCUGAGCCAGUGACAAGGUUUAUAACCAGCUGGUUUUCAGACAAUUUCAGACUUUUUAUCAAAUAAUAUAAAAUCUUUUUAAGCUGACCACAGACAUCACACAGACUGCAGCAGCAUUUAUAUUUCUCAGCUAGAGGUUACACAAGACUUCGCCAUUCUCUGUCAUUUUGGCCAACAGGGUUAUAAAAAUCCCAUCAUAAUCUAUUUUUACACUCUAAUUUUUAAAAUGAAUCAAUAGCAUUUAAUUUUCACAAAUUUCUUACAACAUCGGACAUUGAAGAUCAAGUCAGUAUUGGGUCGGUCCAUCAAAGACCACAUCUAGACGUCAGUGCGACGUGCAAAAUAGGUUAGAAAUUUCGACGUCCAAAUUGGACCUUUUUUAGACGUCGCUCUGACGUUUAGAAUUUGGACGUCAUCUGAAGACCAAAUCUAGACGUCGGCACAACGUGCAAAAUGGAUCCAAGAUUUAGACGUCAUUAUUGGACCUCUUUUAGACAUUGAAAUGAUGUCCACAUUUGUACCUCAUCGUCGAAAAAAUACGUUAAAUAGAUGUCAUUUCGAUGUUGCAUUGUGCAGUGGGAAAAGCUAAUUAAUAUGCUCACUCACCACCAAGUGUUUAGGAAUUGGAAUUGUAAAAUGACAGAUGGCCUUUACCGUUUAAACAAAAACCAACAAAAAAAAAUGGUCAAGUUUGGAGAAUAAUUAGUUAACGAGACCCCUGAUCUCAGCCCAAAGAGAAAGAGGAAAAAUAUGUUCAAAGUCUGCACUUCCUCCAGUGUCCACUAGAGCUUAUCUCCUGCAGUGAGUCAGUCCACUCUUCAUAUUCUCUGAAUCUUUGAAUGAUAUUAUAUAAUGUAGACGAUGAAAUCCACUUAUUCUUUCACAUUUGACACUCGGGAACAUUAUUCUGAAACUGUUGGACUAUUAGCUCACACAGUCUCUUACAGACAAGGAGGAACAAUAACAUUUUUUCAGUUAAUCAGAUGUUGUCUUAGCAUUUUGUAAAUGGAAUAUUAGCCUCAGGUCAUUUGCAAACAAUCAAAUCGAAUUUUAUAAACAUUUUCUCAGUUGACUUUGAGUUUCAGAAUAAAGAGUCAGCAGGCUGAAGAGUGACAUGUGGACAUCCUACACUGCACAGUUUGGCACACAGAGAUUAUUGUGGAGCUGAGAUAGUAUACUUUCUUCCCUCUCAGAAACAUCCACUCCAGUGAAAUAAGUAAUCUCUGAUUAUUUCCUGAUAUUUACUGCUAACCCCGUCUGUUCUCACUCCCUACACUUCUGUUUUCUAACAUACAUCAAAGUCCGGCCCCUGGCUCGAGGCUUUGCUGCUGUUUUUGUAAAAUGUAAAGAAAUAAUGAACUCAGAGGACUCUCAGAGUUGUUUCCCCUGUGGGCUGAUCCUCCUGCUGGGAAUGUUUCUGAGACGGUGCUGAUGCAGCACCUGUUCCCAGAUCACACUCAAACAUGAGGCCGAAACAGACUAAACAUCCCCCUGGACUAAAAACUACAGUCAUCAAGUUAUGCGCUGGAGACGACUUGAGCCAAUAGCUGGAAUCAUAAGUUCAAAGCUGAUAUUAACUCUGACAAUGAACUAACUGAGGGAAUACAUAUCUGUCAACCUAUCAACCAGCAGGCUUUAGUGUUUGCAGGAAAAUCAUUCUGUAUGGAGAGCAAAAGCAGGAGGAAUACAGUCCACCAUGGUGACCUCCAACUCCCAUGGUUGGUGAUCCGAGGAGGAUUUCUGUCUCAAUAAAAACAGAUAUCUGUAUGAAGGUCAGCUAACGAUAUGUUAUAGAUCAAAAAUUUACACUGAGACACGAAUAACAUGAGUGAAGCCUUUGAGAGAGUAUUUACAGCGAAACGCACACUUUUCUCACAGAGAUACUGAUGUUCUCUGAGAAUACAAAUCAAUCUUAAAUCAUCCCAUUCGGUCAAAAAUAGUAGAAAACACCAAUCUAGAAGUGAACAUGGACUUUGACUUUGCUUCUGUCAGGGCAGAGUUGAAAUCAGAGGAAGUGAUGAUUGACUGAAUAUGUUUUCGCAUAACAGUGUACAGAAAGUACAUUUCAUGUUCCCAGCCUUUAGCACAUUCUGUAAGGGGGACAUUAGUCUGUCAUUGACAUGUGAAUCCAGCUGUUUGCAGACGUCUCUACACAGCGCUCUAUAUCACAGCUGACUGUCAGUAAAUACUGCACAGUAAGGUCUGAACUGGAAGAGGUCGUACAUCUGCCAAAGUUAAAGUAGUCUGAAGCUCUGAGUGUGUUCAUUAGGCUCUGAAGGAAAGCUCUGUGUGUGUAUUAGUGUGUGUGUCUGUGUGUGUAAGUGAGUAGAGUCUGUGAAUUUAAAGAUUCCUACUUUAAUAUCUAAGGGAGAAACCUGCUCCAGCUGCUCAUAAGCAGUUUUUCCUUGUUGAGGAGACUCUGGAACCAUAUACUCUGGCUGAGAGCCGGUUCCUUGGCGGUAGAAACACAGAACUGGUUCCAAAUCAGGAACCAGGUCUGAACUAAACCUGGACCCAGCUUGGUGUGAAAGGGGCAACAGUGCUGCGCUCCUGAAGUUAAGUGGCAUGAAGUGGACGACAUCGAAGACUGAAUUUAAUACAAGUUAAGGAUUUUAAUGGCAGUUUUAAGUGUUUUUAAAAGUGAUGCCAAUUUUUUUUUAAAAAAGAAACUUUCAACGUCCAAACGAAUAAGAGCCACAUUCUGGAGAUGGAGAAUAUGAUUUCCCUCAUUUUAAAGCUUCACCAUAAAAAAGCUGCUAGCCUUCAUUCAUGCUGCUUCUUCUUCUGCUUCAAAACUUUAUCCAUGUGCAGACACGCUCAAACCAAAGGAGCCAGAUUAUCCUGCAUUCAGAACUCUUAGCAAGGGUAUCUGGGGUCUGCCAUGCGGUAACUCUGGUCCCUCCUCACUUUAACAAGCUGCCUCAUAAACUUCUGGCUCAAAUGUUCAUUUUUGGAAUGAUGGGUGGAUCACAAACGUAAAAUUCAAAGUGAGUGUUUCUUUGAUGUGAUUGGGUGAGGAGGUUGGAGUGCAGUUUAUUUCUGGUGGAUAAGGACUGGUUUUCCUUCAGUGCUAAUUCUCUGGGCUUUAGUUUGAUGUUCAGAAAGGAGUUUUAUAGUAACUUUCCCUGUCAGCUGAGCUUACACAACACUGACAUUAAACGAAGCAGGAAUGUAAGCCACCCGGAGAACCAACAGGAGAAAUUCCUCAGUUUCCUGGGGGAUAGAUUGACUCUGUGGUCGUCUCUGAGUUGCAUAAUUUGUGCCGGUGGAGAUUAAAGCUGAGCAGAAACGGAGCUGAAGUUUGGGUCCCGUUAGUCUGCCACAUCUUGGGUUAUUUUCCCCUCAAAGCUCAGCCCCGGGGACACCUGCUGGGGUUACACAAACACCUCCACUUUACAGAGUGGCCUAAAAAUAGCCCUGACUCCAGGAGGGAACCACAUCUCUACCUUCCCGAUGUGUUCACUCAGGAUGUUGUUGAAGUCUGGAACAUUCCUCACACGCUCAGCCAGCCUGCAUAUUUGCCUCUUCCCCAUCUUUCUGUUUUAUUCCAUCCACCUUCUCACGGCCUGAGAACACUCUGUACUGAUCUGAAGCACCGCCUGUUUACACAUGCAUGUAACUCACAUAUUAUAACGCAGAUCCGAGACCAAAACCAGAACACUUUAUCCUGAAAUCCAGCAGCAAAGCUUCAUGAACCUUCCAGAAGAUCAGCUGUUGCAACUGUGUGGUUCUGUCCCCAGUCCAGAUAAAGAGGACUGAAGACCAUCUACAUACCUAAAUACUAAAUACCUCUCUGCAAACUCUAGUUCACACCUUGACUCGUUUUAAAGAUCUUGUGAGGAACUUUCAGUUUGUGUUGAUUUUGGCGCCCCCUGUGGACAAAGUAGUAUCUGAUUCUCAAACCUCGUCCUGCUGUCUUUUAGCAGUAAAAAUAUCUCUGUAAAUGUCACUAAUCAGCAUUUCAUUCAUUUUAUGAUCAGCUACAUUCACAACAGACAGACCUCUUUAAAACGUGUAUCUGAAACACAUCCAGAGAGUCGAUGUCUGCAGGUCCGAAACUCUCUCUGUAAUCACGUCUGAAUAAUCAGCUCUGACAGCUGUUGGCGUUAAAACUGAGAGAAAUUAUAGAAACACAACGCUCGUUAAGGUCCAACAGCUGUGUUCAAUCUACUGCUGCUGUUUUACUUUCUUUGAGAUGGUUAGUUUGUUUUUGAUGAACAGAAGGAAGAGAGAAGGGGUUAAAUUUAGAAGCUGAGAUGAGUCUAAAAAAACAGAUCAGUAUAGUUAAAAGAAAUUAGAGAUGUUUGUUUUUGUUUUUUGUUUUUUAAUUUCCUCACAGCCAGUUCUACGAUAAUAAUUCAACAGCCAUUAGAACUAUUUGUUUUACAGGUGGUCUUGAAAAACAAUCGCCUUUUGUUUUUGUUUUUUAUUUGUUUUUUGUUUGUUUAUAUAUACACAUAUAUACACUUGUAAAUGAAAGAAUAAAAAAAAUAAAAAAAUUGGGAAGAUUUAAGAAAGAAGGAAAAAUAAAAUAAAAAAAAGACAACAACCAUAAGAACACAGAAAAAACAAAGAGGACAAAAGACAAAAACAAGAGUUUAUUUAACUAUUUUCCCUUUUUUUUUCCUCACAUCCACUUUCACUAUAAUAAUUCAACAGCCUUUGGAACAAUCCAUUUUACAAGUGGCCUUGGUAAACAAUCACCUUUUGUUUUUCUUUUCUUUUUGGUUUUGAUAUAUAUUAAGAUGUGUAAAUGAAUAAAUAAAAAAACUAACAUUUUAGAAAAUUUAAGAAAGAAGGGGAAAAAAAGACAAAAACAACAAUAACCAUAAAAAAAACAUUGAACAAACAAAGAGAACGAAAGAAAAAAAUGUUUGUUUUUGCAGGUGAGUCAAAGGAGUGUGAAUUUAACAAGCUUCAGUGGGGCAAAAUAUAAUUAUAUGAUAUGAUAUGAUAUGAUAUGAUAUGAUAUGAUAUGAUAUGAUAUGAUAUGAUAUGAUAUGAUGGAAUUCUUUAUUUAAUACAAUAUAAUUUCAAAUGAUACAAUAUAAGACGAUACCAUAUGAUACAAUGUAACGCAUUGUAGUUUGAUGUAAUAUAACUCCGAUGAUUUAAAAAAAAACGGUCCCUCUGCUUAAACACUCUUCAUUUCUCAGCCACACAUGCACCAGCUGACACACUCGGACUAACACACCUCAUAACUUCAGCUCAGCUUGACUUUAUGUUACAUAAUAAACUUUAAUGCUGCCCCGUUUCAAUAAAGAGUCCCCCCUGUCUCUCUGUUGUGUCCCACCAGUCGGGUCCUGACUGAUCAGGUGUUCCUGUGUGCACCUCUGAGGGAGGUUAUGAACCCAGACAUGAUGGACGCCCGGAGGGGAAAACAAAAUAUCACUGCGGUCAAACUCAAGGCCGGUGUUUGCAUUGCUUUGGAAACAACUCCAUUAGUCAGGAGUGCGAGAUUUGAGAUGCAAAGUUUUUUAAUCAUUCUUGAAAAAAAGGGAGCAAAAUCUUUUUUCUUGUAGAUUAACUUGAGACAAAAAAAAAAAAAAAAACACUUUUAUCCGACAUCUGGAUAAUUUCCCCUGAUGCCCUGAUGAAGACAAGAUUAUCCAAAGUUCCAAAACAGCUUUUACACCUUAAGACAAGUUGAUUUAUCAGUGUGGUAGAAGUCUGACAGUUUGGGACUCGGUGUUUUAAGGCUAGGGUGAGAUGUGUUUGAGUGAGGUUACUGUGUUUUUGUGAUCCACUGUGUGUUUACUGCAGCUGAGAGCAAACGUGUACACACAAAUAUGCUUCAUCCUGCAGAGUGGUCUGCAUGAGUCUGCUUGAAUCUAGCAGACACACUCAGGUUUGUUUACAUGCAUCUAACUCUUCCUCUGCAGGACAACAUCCAGGAGUUUGUCAGUCGUGUGCAGACUCUACCGCAGAUCUCUCCCGGACAAAAGGUCGCUUGUUAAAAAACCUCAGGAGGAGGACGAGGAGUUGAAGCGAUGUUCUUUACUGCAGCCGUUUUCUCGUUCAUGACAGGAAGUGCCAGUCAGACCACAGGAAUGUAAAGCUCUGCAGCAGACACGCUUCUCCAGAGAGAGAGAGAGAGAAAGAGCGAGAGAGAGAGGAAGGGUCAGAGUACAGGAUCCAAAGAGGUCGACUGACAGAGUGGAUAUUUCACAGAUCUGUACAGAACAAAUUCACCUGCAGAGUCCUGUCUGCUUUUAUAACCUGCUGGAAAAACAUGAGGGCUGAGUGUUAUAUAGGAUUAGGAUUUUACAGUAAAUCAGAGAGAAACAUGUGGUAAAGUAUACAGUUCAUGAAAAUGUAUGUCAUUCAACACAAGAUAGAGGGUCUGGUGUGCUGACUGGUUUGUAUGCACAUGGAUUUUAAAGUGUUUUGAUAACAGGAGGAGUUUGGGGAUUAAAUAGAGGUGAGUGCACAAGUGGGGUGAUUGGUCCUCUCUGUGUAAAAUUAACGUUUUAUUUUGACUCUCUGUGAUGAAAACAUGUUUGUUUUGUAUAUCAUAAGUUUGGAAAACUUAAUGGUUGAUCAUCAGCUCUAAAUGGACCGCAACAGAAUUGUGGCAAAUGUUAACAGUGGGCCUCUCCAGUCUGAGUGAGUUUUGCAGUACCUGAAUAGUGAUCUCCCGCUGCAUUUAAUCUUUCAGAGAAAUCUGUCCCAUCUGUAAUUCUCUGUAGAGGAACUGUGCAGCUGUAGAUUGGAGCUUCAGGUGAACUUUUUUUUUCUUUUUUUGGAAAAAAAAUUAUCAGACACCAGCUGGGCAGAGAGAGGGGCACAGAGAGGCUUGGAAGGGAGAAAGAGCGUCUAUCAAGGUUUGUUUACCACUCAGUUUCCAGCUACACAUCCAACUUCCAGCUCAAAGCCCAGCAUGUGAACACUGAGCAUGCUCAGAACACUUAAACCAGUUCCAGUCUGAAUGAGCCAAACAUGACACAGAAAAUCAGGCCCAUGAUCAGGUAUGUUAGUCCAACUGAGAGAAGUUUGACUGAGUGCAGUUUCAGUCAGACACUGGCUGUUUUCAUGUUUUUUCAGAAAGUGACUGCAUGAGAAAGGCAUGUCUGAAAAAUCUACUGGUACAUGGCUAAGAGACACGGUGCACCACUUAAUCUACAGAGGACGCAUCAAACAUCACUUACUGAAAAUCCCUCAGCUGUUUUAUAAGGAUGCAGGUCACUAACAAAAGCUCCAUGUCAAUAAUCUAAAUUCCUCACUGAACAUGUCUUGCCAAAAUGUCUGUCAUGUGCACAAAUUUUAUCAAUAAGAAAACUUCAUAUUUACGGAGUUAUAUUUUGAAUAUGAAUGUUGAAAUGUGCAUUCCUCCACAUUAAUAUCGUUAAGAGUGAAUAAAGCUCACUGUCCUUUUUAUCAAAGGUGUAUUAGGGUGUAUUUCUGCAGGCAUGUGAGCCUGGAGCAGCAGCAGAAAGGUUCCUUGUCCUCAACAGCUGCAGCUUCAGGUUGUUUUGUCUGCAGGAGCUGGCAAAGAGAGACGUGUCCCCGAAGAUUUGAAUUGGAGCAGGUCUGACAGGAAAUACCUCUGGCACUGAGCUGGGGCAGCGUGCCUCACCUCUGACAGUCUGCGUGAAACACCUACGCUUGUCUGCAGCAUGAGAGGGAGAAAGGGAGGAGAGGACAGGAGAGGACAGGACAGGACAGGACAGGAGAGAAGAGGGGAGGAGUGGAGAGGAGAGGAGAGGACAGGAGAGAAGAGGAGGCUGCAGACGGAGACCGUGGAGGAGACAUGAUGUGUUACAGUAAGUCAGGAGAGCAGAGGGGGUUUCAGAGAGAGUCUGAGACAGUCCCUCCGGUCCUCAGCAGAGUCUGAGGUGGUGUAUCAGGUUGCUCUCAUGCCCACCCUGCUCUCUGCUCCCUCACACAGACACACGCUCACACGACACACACACUCAGGAGAGGCCCUUGAAGGCUGUCCAGCCUCAACAUUCGCCCGUCUGGAAGUAAUUAAAGAAGGAAAAGGUGGAUGAGGUGGUGAGACCAAUUUUCCCAGAGUCAGAGAGACCCGCCCUGACUCUGUACCAUGCACAUGCUUUUUUUUUUUUUUUACCCACAAUCCCCCUGUAACGACAUUCCUGUUCUUAUAAUUCCCC